GGUUCUUGUUGAUUAGUGGAAGUUUUGGAUCGUUGUUGAUCGGUCCCGUGGUUUUCUCCCCAAUUUGGGGUUUCCACGUAAAUUGCUUGUGUCUAUUUUAUUUCCACUGUUUUACUGAAUUGUUGCUGCUGUGUAUCUGCUGCUGGAAAUUAUUUUGGAAGUUAUUGUGCCUUUGUCAUUCAUUGUGUUUAUUUGGGGAAAAAGAUUGUAUUGCGCUUCCGUUGUGUUUUUUUGUCGUUGCUUCCCCAACA
RNAcentral lists this long non-coding RNA (251 nucleotides) under Nicotiana benthamiana. Its description in RNAcentral is "long non-coding RNA (NBEN_LNC018322)". The record is from RNAcentral. Lineage: Eukaryota; Viridiplantae; Streptophyta; Magnoliopsida; Solanales; Solanaceae.